UCUCAGUAGUUCACAAUCGAUCGUCACGAACGGGCCUUUGUUGGAAGCCGGUGCAAUGCCGGCGCGGCCCCGCCACUGUAUGAGGCUCUGCCGUGUCUUUGGACACGACAGCUAGCAGCGACUUCUGCGCAACACCCACUGGUGCAUGCACCGGGAAGGGAGAAGCCGACCGCCUCGAGCCAGGAAACCGGCCGUUCGUUCCCGCUGCAA
Molecule: non-coding RNA, 210 nt
Filed under: Gemmatimonas aurantiaca
Lineage: Bacteria; Pseudomonadati; Gemmatimonadota; Gemmatimonadia; Gemmatimonadales; Gemmatimonadaceae
Also listed under: 1 other name
Source: RNAcentral